ACUCAAAUGAAUAGACGGGGGCCCGCACAAGCGGCGGAGCGUGUGGUUUAAUUCGAUGCUACACGAAGAACCUUACCCAGGCUUGACAUGAGAGUGGUAGGGAGUCGAAAGAGGACCGACCCGCAAGGGAGCUUUCACAGGUGCUGCAUGGCUGUCGUCAGCUCGUGCCGUGAGGUGUUAGGUUAAGUCCUGUAACGAGCGCAACCCGCGUCGUCAGUUACAAGUGUCUGACGAGACUGCCGGUUUCAAGCCGGAGGAAGGUGCGGACGACGUCAAGUCAGCAUGGCCUUUAUGUCUGGGGCGACACACACGCUACAAUGGGCGGUACAAAGGGAAGCCAAGCCGUGAGGUGGAGCCAAUCCCCUAAAGCCGUUCCCAGUUCGGAUUGGAGGCUGCAACCCGCCUCCAUGAAGCCGGAGUCGCUAGUAACCGCGCGUCAGCCAUAGUGCGGUGAAUACGUUCCCGGGCCUUGUACACACCGCCCGU
RNAcentral lists this ribosomal RNA (486 nucleotides) under uncultured bacterium. RNAcentral's name for it is "partial 16S ribosomal RNA". It matches the Rfam family "Bacterial small subunit ribosomal RNA", at positions 899 to 1397 of the family's 1533-position model. The record is from RNAcentral.